This is a long non-coding RNA of Pogoniulus pusillus (Red-fronted tinkerbird), 993 nucleotides long. RefSeq lists it as uncharacterized. Lineage: Eukaryota; Metazoa; Chordata; Aves; Piciformes; Lybiidae. The transcript is spliced from 3 exons. The record is from RefSeq and is a predicted model, not a curated record.
CACCUAAAUGAGCUCCCCCAGGACAGGAAGAUGAGAGAAGUUCCUGGGAAAGGGAAGCGACUGGGGUGGUGCUAUCACAUAUAAAAAGGGUAGAUAUUGGAAAUGAAACCAGGAUAAAUGGAACUCCAGAACCUGCUACCUUAGUCUUCUCCUUCCUGAAACAAGGAAUGCCUCAAAAAGCCCAGCUUCUAGAUGGAAACUUACAGGAGAUUGAGCCUACAGGAAACUACAUGGAUGAAGCAAAACCUCACCACAGAUCCAGCACCCACAUCACUUAGUGGGCAGAAGAUCCUCAUCAGAUCUAAUGCAGCAGGUCUUGAUGUUGCCAUAAAUAAUGAUCCACUGGCCUGGGAGACUGAGGCAACUGAGGACCUCUGACAGAUGACACAUUUGAGAGUGCUGGCAAAGGGGGAAAUGCACUUCAGGCUGACCCUCAACUCGUUUUCUCAUACUACACUGUCCUGACAAGUGUUUUCCUUGGAUCAUAAGGCAUGGUGAGAGAACUUCUUGUUUUCCAUAGUUAAGAGAACAUUAAUCAAAGUAUUUGCUGAAACUGAUCUGAUUGGAAGUCAUUAAGGAAAAAAAAUGAUGCUCCCAACUGGGAAGCUAUUGCCCAACCUUUGAACUGGACUGCUUCAUUUGGGGAUGAUUCCACACUUCAUUUUCUGAGUGCUGUUGAAAAUGUCUUUGGUUGUGAGUGCAGAAUAUUUGUUGUGCUAAAAUCCUAACUAAUGACCAUUUAGGCAGCUCCACUGGUACCCAACGUGUUCUUCUGGCUCUCAGGUGUUUUGGUGUACGCUAAGUUCUCCACACAAUCAGAAAAGCAUCCCUCACUGCCACCAGUGCUGCACUUCAAUCAGUGGUUAGAGCACUCCUCAGGCCCUGACACCUGAGACAAGCCUAGAUAGAGCUUACUGGUCCCUUAGUGAUUUAACACCUGCCUCCUAGAAAGUGGAACCCAUUCUGUAUCUGACUAAUCAGCUAUGCUUUUCU